Molecule: non-coding RNA, 4358 nt
Organism: Candidatus Ryanbacteria bacterium RIFCSPHIGHO2_01_45_13
Lineage: Bacteria; Candidatus Ryaniibacteriota
Source: Rfam
GGAGUGGAUAAUAAGGGCGAACGGUGGAUGCCUAGGCUUGGAAAGGCGACGAAGGACGUGGCUUGGCUGCGAUAAGCGUCGGUGAGGUGUCGAGCAACCUUUGACCCGGCGAUUUCCGAAUGGGGGAACCCAGCACUGUGAAAACAGUGUUAUCCCGGCGAUAUGUCGGGAGGUGCACCUGGAGAAGUGAAACAUCUCAGUACCCAGAGGAAAAGAGACCAACAUAUACCGUUGCUUUGCAACGGAAGCACGAAACUUGAAUAUCGAUAAUCGAAAUAAAUUUAAAAUUCCAGAUUCAAAUAAGCAAAACGUUUUGGAUUGAGCAUGCAUAUAUAUAUUGGAUAUUGUUUCGGAUUUCGAAUUUAGGAUUUCGGAUUUCCGCUGCAAGGCAGCGGUUGGUAUUCCCUUAGUAGCGGCGAGCGAAAAGGGAGAAGCCCAAAUCCAGCUCCACUUUCUGUAAAUAAUCAAAUAUGUUUCUGACAUAUAAUGUGCGAAGAAAUGUAUAGUGCCAAGAAGGAUUAUUGUCAGAAAGUGGGGCUGGAGGUUGUAAGGAUCGUUAAUCUUGAACCAUGCUUUGUGCGGGAUAUUUUCAUCGCACGAGGCGUGUUUCAAGGGGAGUUACAAAUGCAAAUUCUUAGCAGAAAGAUCCUGGAAAGGACAACCAUAGAAGGUGACAGUCCUGUAUGCGAAAAGGGUUUGCACUCCUUAAUGAUUUCUUGAGUAUCCCGGCACAUGAAUGGGCUGGGAGAAUCGAGCCGAACUAACGGCUAAGGCUAAAUACUUUCCAAGACCGAUAGUGAACAAGUACCGUGAGGGAAAGGUGAAAAGCAGCCCGGUGAGGGCGGUGAAAUAGAACCUGAAACCGUUUGCCUACAAGGAGUCGGAGCCCCUCGCAAUAGCAAUAUUGCUCGGGGUGACGGCGUGCCUAUUGAAGAAUGAGCCAACGACUUAUCUAAUAUCCCUUGUCUAAGGACGUUUGAGUCCGAAGGCACAGGGAAACCGAGUGUUAAUAGCGCGUUUAUGGGGGUGUUAGAUAGACCCGAAGCCAGGUGAGCUUGCCAUGGACAGGGUGAAUGCCGGUGAAAACCGGCAGGAGGCCCGAACCGGUUGGUGGUGCAAAACCAUCGGAUGAUCUGUGGUAAGGAGUGAAAAGCUAAUCGAACCUGGUAAUAGCUGGUUCUCUCCGAAAUAGCUUUACGGUUAGCGUUCAGUUUUUUCCUGGAGGUAGAGCACUGGAAGGUAUGUAUAGGGAGCAAUCUCGACAUACCUAUCAAACUCCGAAUGCCAGGCAUUACAUAACUGAAUAGUUAGACCAUGGGGGCUAAGCUCCAUCGGUCGAAAGGGAAACAGCCCAGACCGCCAUCUAAGGUCCCUAAAUCUGUCCCUUAUGGGACGCCUAGCCAUAUCACAUUGCAUGUGAUGCGGUUGGGUAUGCUAAGUGCAUUUUAAGGUAGUAAAAUUUCUUAGACAGCGAGGAGGUUGGCUUAGAAGCAGCCAUCCUUUAAAGAGUGCGUAACAGCUCACUCGUCAAGAGAUUUUGCGCCGAAAAUAAUCGGGGCUAAGCAUAGUACCGAAGAUGCGGACCGAUGCGCGGCAUCGGGAAGAUCAAAUAUCAAAGCUCAAAUGUCAAAUUUGACAUUGGGAUUUUGUCAUUUGAAUUUCCGCUGCUGCGCAGCGGUGGUAGGAGAGCAUUCUGAAUGCAGUGAAGUUUACGGCGCGAGCCGGAAUGGAGCGUUCAGAAGAGAGAAUGUUGGCACAAGUAACCGCAAUCGGGGUGAGAUCCCCCGACGCCGAAAGCCCAAGGUUUCCUUGGCAAUGGUGAUCAGCCAAGGGUUAGUCGGUCCUAAGACGAUGGCGAAAGCCGCAGUCGAUGGACACACGGUUAAUAUUCCGUGACCCUGUUAUUGCAUUCUAUGGAGUGACGGAGGAUAUAACAUAGAGCGUGUUAUUGGAUUCGCGUUCGUGCAGCUCAGAGAUGUGCUUUAGGCAAAUCCGGAGCACUGGGUUUAAAGCCCGAUUCUCGCGCUGUGCGAAAAUGCCGCGCUACGGCAAGGUAAAUUCUAUUGAAGAGCCUUCCAAGAAAAACUUCUAUGAGCUAAGCAGUAAUGGGACCGUACCGUAAUCCGACACAGGUGGGCAGGUCGAGCAGACCAAGGCGAACGAGUGAUUCCUCUCUAAGGAACUCGGCAAAAAAGCGGCCGUAACUUCGGAAUAAGGCCCGCCCUAGAUUGUCCAAUGGUGGAAAAGGAGGGAAUAAUGGAGCCCCAAGAAGAGGGCGAAAAAUCCCAAACAGAAGAAGAAUAAGAGGCGAUCAUGGCCGAAUGGCAAGAUCGCGCAAUCUUCGUCGGGGAAGAGAUCUGAUCUCUUCCCCCUACCAUUGGGCAAUCCGGGGCCGCAGCGAAAGUAUCCCUGGCGACUGUUUAUCAAAAACACAGCUCCCUGCGAACUCGUAAGAGGAUGUAUAGGGGGUGACGCCUGACCAAUGCGAGAAGGUUAAAUGCGACUGGUGCUUCGCACCGGGAAGCUCAAAUGUCAAUGCUCAAAUGUCAAAAAUUGGUCAUUUGGAUUUUGUCAUUGGGAUUUCCAGCGCGGAGCGCUGGGUUGUAUAAGCCCUCGUCAAUGUCGGCAAUAACUAUAAUUGUCCUAAGGUAGCGCAAUUCCUUGUCGGGUAAGUUCCGACGCGCACGAAUGGCGUAACGACUGGGGAACUGUCUCGGGGAGGAGCUCGGUGAAAAUGCAAUACCGGUGAAGAUGCCGGUUACCUGCAGCUAGACGGAAAGACCCUGGAAGCUUUACUAUAACUUGGUAUUGGGUUUAGGUCUUUCAUGCGUAGCGUAGUGGGGAGACGUUGAAACUCUGGUUUCGGCUGGAGUGGAGUCGCCAAUGAAACACCCAUCUUGAAAGAGUUAGAUUCUAAUCUCAGCGGCAAAAACGCGGGGAGACAGUACCUGGCGGGUAGUUUACGUGGGGCGCGUUCCUCCUAAAAGGUAACGGAGGAGUUUAUUAAGGUCGGCUAGGCGCGGAUGGAAAUCGCGCUGGUCGUGUAAUGGCAUAAGCCGGCUUGACUGUGAGACGGACAUGUCGAGCAGAUGCGAAAGCAGAACAUAGUGAUCCGACCGUUGGCAUUAGACGCCGCGGAAGCUCAACGGAUAAAAGUUACUCCAGGGAUAACAGGCUGGUCCCGCCCAAGCGUCCAUAGCGACGGCGGGGUUCGGCACCUUGAACAUCGGGGUGUCUAUGGCAGCGAUGCCAUACAAAAAAUAAAUCGGCUUAUAACGGUGGACUCCAUACGAGCCAACCAUGAAAAUAGCAUGGUAACAUAUAUGUAUGGACAAUACCGUGGGAAGUCUUACCUCAUUACAGAGAUCUGUCAUCGUUGAAUUUUUCCUUCCAUGAUAUACAAAUGAGGUAAUGACCCUGUAGAGACUUAUCCUUCAAUUUCUUGUGAAAAAGAGGAUAGAGUUAAUCAAGAAUUGAUUAGCUAAUACGCCGAUCUCCUGCUUUCAGAUCAGCAGGAUGAAGAUAUAGUCCGAUCCUACUAGCAAUAGUAGUAAAAACGACAGCGAUGUCGGCUCGUCCUAUCCUGGGGGUGAAGCAGCUCCCAAGGGUUUGGCUGUUCGCCAAUUAAAAGGGCACGUGAGCUGGGUUCAGACCGUAAAGCAUCUUUUGGCUAUGAGCUUUUAGCUUUUAGUAAAGGACGUUUUACAGUCUGAAUCCGCUUGCAGCAUUUCUUUUCGUCUAACAAAUAGGAAAAAAUGUCCAAUCAAAUCACGGCGGUCUCUCUUUUUCCAAUUCCUAAAAGCCGGAAGAAGAGAAGAAAAAGUCAGCUAUAUCGGUAAAAUCCAGCCCCACUUUUGUCAAUUAGGCAUUAGUGAGGGACAAACCAAUUUUUGAGUUUCAUUACAUUUAGAAAUAUCAAUAAUACAGCGAAAUUCAAAAGUGGAGACGGACAAUACCGAGGGAACCAUCUGCUCCGGGCGGAUGGCCCCGUAGAGGCUACACGCUGACCUCUUGCUAUUUGCGAGAGAAGAUAUAGUCCAAUGCACUUAGUAAUAAGUGAUAACAUGCGUGAGACAGGUUGGUCCCCUAUCUGCUGCAGGCGUUUUGAUUCUUGAGGGGAGUCUUCCCCAGUACGAGAGGACCGGGAAGAACUGACCUCUGGUCUACCAGCUCUGGCGCCAGCUGGAGCGCUGGGUAGCUAUGUCGGGAACGGAUAACCGCUGAAAGCAUCUAAGCGGGAAGCCGGCCCCAAGAUUAGGAAUCUUAAGAUCCCUCGAAGACUACGAGGUUGAUAGGCUCUAGGUGUAAGAUCCGCAAGGAUUUCAGCCGAGGAGUACUAAUGAUCGUAUCCACUCCGA